GAUUAACGCUGGCGGCGUGCCUAACACAUGCAAGUCGAACGAGGUAGCAAUACCUAGUGGCAGACGGGUGAGUAACGCGUGGUCAACCUACCGUUGAGUGGGGGAUAACUAGCCGAAAGGUUAGCUAAUACCGCAUACGUCUCCGAGGGGCAUCCCUUGGCGAUAAAAGGAGCAAUCCGCUCGAUGACGGGACCGCGUCCCAUUAGCUAGAUGGUGGGGUAACGGCCUACCAUGGCACCGAUGGGUAGCUGGUUUGAGAGAGCGACCAGCCACACUGGGACUGAGAAACGGCCCAGACUCCUACGGGAGGCAGCAGUGAGGAAUUUUCCGCAAUGGGCGCGAAGCCUGACGGAGCGACGCCGCGUGUGGGAAGAAGGCCUCGGUCGUAACAC
Molecule: ribosomal RNA, 392 nt
Filed under: uncultured bacterium
Lineage: Bacteria
Description: bacterial SSU rRNA
Rfam family: Bacterial small subunit ribosomal RNA
Source: RNAcentral